RNAcentral lists this ribosomal RNA (414 nucleotides) under uncultured Gammaproteobacteria bacterium. RNAcentral describes it as "bacterial SSU rRNA". It matches the Rfam family "Bacterial small subunit ribosomal RNA", at positions 9 to 426 of the family's 1533-position model. The record is from RNAcentral. Lineage: Bacteria; Pseudomonadati; Pseudomonadota; Gammaproteobacteria.
GAGUUUGAUCUUGGCUCAGAUUGAACGCUGGCGGCAUGCCUAACACAUGCAAGUCGAACGGUAACGCGGGGGCAACCCUGGCGACGAGUGGCGGACGGGUGAGUAAUACGUAGGAAUCUGCCCAUUUGUGGGGGAUAACCCGGCGAAAGCCGGGCUAAUACCGCAUACGCUCUACGGAGGAAAGCGGGGGAUCGUAAGACCUCGCGCUAAUGGAUGAGCCUACGUCGGAUUAGCUAGUUGGUAGGGUAACGGCCUACCAAGGCGACGAUCCGUAGCUGGUCUGAGAGGACGAUCAGCCACACUGGGACUGAGACACGGCCCAGACUCCUACGGGAGGCAGCAGUGGGGAAUAUUGGACAAUGGGGGCAACCCUGAUCCAGCCAUGCCGCGUGAGUGAUGAAGGCCUUCGGUUGU